CUCAUUUUGAAGAAUUUCACAAAAAAAAUUGCUAAGAUCCUUGUAAGUAAAAACUUCUAUGGAAAUUAUAAUUGAGCAUGGAUUGGGGCAUGUGAGGACUUGAUCUUAGCUUAAAAAGGUGUUUAUAACACAAUAGUGAAGUUAGAUUUACAAAAAAAUGCCUUCUUGACCACUUACAAGGGCCAUCAGUCUUGAUAACAAGAUUGGCUCUUGGAUGAAUGAAGGCCGUAGAUCUAGAUUAGGGAUCUGAAAAAUCAAGGGUGGAGAUGUAGCCACCCUUCUACGACCCUCCACUCAAUUGUAUAAGAGAGGCUUGGUUUUCCAAGCCCUCUCUCUCUCUUCUUUUGGUGAAGGACGAAGCCAUGCUAAAAUUUGGCCAAAAACCCUAAUUUUAAUUUCAUUUAGAUUAUAAAUCUCAUUGUGAAUUUUGUGGGUAGGUGUGCAUGGAUUUCAAGUUGUGAAUGAUAGUCAUUGGGUCUUAAAACACGUUUCAUUGUAGUGAAUAGCUCCCUUGGCCUCCCAAUUACUCCAAGGGUUUCAAGAGCCUAAGAUUUCCCUCCAUCAGUCAUUCAAUAGUUUUAGUUCCAAUAUAAUUUUUUUUUUCGUUGUAGCUUUUGUUGUUAGCUUUCUAACAAGGUAAGGCUCGCUCCAUUUGGAGUUGAACUGAAUUUUUGGUGAAAUUUUGAGUGUGAGGGGGUCGACUGCCUUCACAGUUUGGAUUAAUCGAGUUUGG
This 733-nucleotide long non-coding RNA is filed under the name Physcomitrium patens. RNAcentral's name for it is "long non-coding RNA (PPAT_LNC005968)". The record is from RNAcentral. Lineage: Eukaryota; Viridiplantae; Streptophyta; Bryopsida; Funariales; Funariaceae.